GUAGGUGGCAAGCGUUGUCCGGAAUUAUUGGGCGUAAAGCGCGCGCAGGCGGUCCUUUAAGUCUGAUGUGAAAGCCCACGGCUCAACCGUGGAGGGUCAUUGGAAACUGGGGGACUUGAGUACAGAAGAGGAAAGCGGAAUUCCAAGUGUAGCGGUGAAAUGCGUAGAGAUUUGGAGGAGCACCAGUGGCGAAGGCGGCUUUCUGGUCUGUAACUGACGCUGAGGCGCGAAAGCGUGGGGAGCAAACAGGGAUUAGAUACCCUGGUAGUCCACGCCGUAAACGAUGAGUGCUAAGUGUUAGGGGGUUUCCGCCCCCUUAGUGCUGCAGCUAACGCAUUAAGCACUCCGCCUGGGGAGUACGGCCGCAAGGCUG
RNAcentral lists this ribosomal RNA (373 nucleotides) under uncultured organism. RNAcentral's name for it is "partial 16S ribosomal RNA". It matches the Rfam family "Bacterial small subunit ribosomal RNA", at positions 527 to 896 of the family's 1533-position model. The record is from RNAcentral.